GUAUCUACUUUCCAUUUCAGUUUAAACCCCAGAUUACUGAAGACUCAUGCACUGCAUGGCUGAGCUGUAAGUCACUAUAGCGCAAUGAAACACCACAAACUUGAACGCAAUGUGAACAUGAGUUCAUAUAGAAACAAGCCUGACUGGGCUUGAUGCCCUAUCUAGGAGGUUUGAAGGCAUUUUUUGCAAUUUCACAUGCUUCUUACACAGGCUUUGUCUUCUCUGAAUAAGGUGUUCCAGUUACGACUAAGGAAGUAUUUCUUCUGCACCAGCCGAGUGGUAAAGCUAUAUGGUAGGUUAAAACCAUCACUUUCAAAAGAAACAGUGCCAAUAACUACAUGCAUCGAUGCUUCUGUUGAUGCUCCUAUCUAUCCUACAUUAAAGGAUUUUUUUUUUUUUCUUUCUUGUAAACCUGAACUAGCAUUCAUUACCUCACGCCCCAAACCUUUCCAAUUCAGAACAGCGAACUCAAAAUCACAUCUGGUAGCCUCAGAAAACUACGUGCAUACCUACAUGUCAUGACUGAAACGCAAAAUUUCAGAGUAGUACCUUUUAGUUGUAGACAUGCUCAAAGCAUACAUUUUGUUAUAUUGCAUGCCCCCAGUUAAAUUAAUAACACAAUGUGUAUGCUUAAGGAGCUGGAGGUUCAUGUCCUAAAGGACCAUGUUAAUAAUAUUGCAUGUCUUCUCAUGCUGUAGACAGCCCACAACGAUCCAGAAGGCUGCUCUCUUGGCUUUAGCAAUACAUAUGAAAACAGCAGUCAGCUAUAGGUUUUCAUGGUGAUUUAAUAUAAAGAUACUCAGUAACAACAACCACCACCAAAAAAAAAAAAAGAAAAAACACCACAACACCCCAGCAUGAUACCUUUUGGGAUUUCUUCAUUUCAGCUUAGGAAGAGCAUAACAAAGAACAGUAGUAUUAAGUAUUACUCAUUAAUACCCUUAGCUGUACAGGCAAAUCCUCCUUCAGCUGAGCACAGCAUAGAUAUAUGUUUAAGACUGUAGGCCUUUAAGGGUAUCUAAUAGUCUAUAUAUGCAGGCCAUAUCAAACACGUGGGAGAUAUGUUAUUGAUAAAAACAGAAGUCAAAGGAUAAAAGGAUGCAUAGAACAUAUGCCAUGGACAGGAAGGAGGUUAGAAUUAUUACACUAUAUAAAACAGUACAUGUACAUGAUAAUUUACCUCCAGGUGGACCUUGCUUGCAAAGGACAGUAAGGGAAAAGGAAAGUUCAUGGAAAG
RNAcentral lists this long non-coding RNA (1237 nucleotides) under Anser brachyrhynchus (Pink-footed goose). Its description in RNAcentral is "lncRNA (ENSABRG00000019726.1)". The record is from RNAcentral. Lineage: Eukaryota; Metazoa; Chordata; Aves; Anseriformes; Anatidae.